CUAACUAGUCAGUUCCGUGUUCUUCACACCUGAACUUAAUCAUAGGAUUAAAAGAACAGGCAUAGAAUAGACUAGAAAACGUACAUUUUUCUGUGUCGUACCCUCUGUCAGCCAGCUAUUGUAUUCUCAUCUAAUGAUAGGGUGUUUU
This is a non-coding RNA of Caenorhabditis elegans, 148 nucleotides long. The record is from Ensembl. Lineage: Eukaryota; Metazoa; Nematoda; Chromadorea; Rhabditida; Rhabditidae.